CACGUAGGGGGCGAGCGUUGUCCGGAUUUAUUGGGCGUAAAGAGCUCGUAGGCGGCUCAGUAAGUCAGGUGUGAAAACUCCAGGCUCAACCUGGAGACGCCACCUGAUACUGCUGUGGCUAGAGUCCGGUAGGGGAGCAUGGAAUUCCUGGUGUAGCGGUGAAAUGCGCAGAUAUCAGGAGGAACACCAGUGGCGAAGGCGGUGCUCUGGGGCCGGAACUGACGCUGAGGAGCGAAAGCGUGGGGAGCAAACAGG
Molecule: ribosomal RNA, 255 nt
Filed under: uncultured bacterium
Lineage: Bacteria
Description: partial 16S ribosomal RNA
Rfam family: Bacterial small subunit ribosomal RNA
Source: RNAcentral